This 305-nucleotide ribosomal RNA is filed under the name uncultured bacterium. RNAcentral describes it as "bacterial SSU rRNA". It matches the Rfam family "Bacterial small subunit ribosomal RNA", at positions 337 to 640 of the family's 1533-position model. The record is from RNAcentral.
UCCUACGGGGGACAGCAGUGAGGAAUAUUGGUCAAUGGUCGGGAGACUGAACCAGCCAAGCCGCGUGAGGGAUGAAGGUACAGAGUAUCGUAAACCUCUUUUGUCAGGGAACAAAGGCGGGGACGUGUUCCCGGAUGAGUGUACCUGAAGAAAAAGCAUCGGCUAACUCCGUGCCAGCAGCCGCGGUAAUACGGAGGAUGCGAGCGUUAUCCGGAUUUAUUGGGUUUAAAGGGUGCGCAGGCGGUCUGUUAAGUCAGCGGUCAAAGCCCGGGGCUCAACCCCGGCCCGCCGGUGAAACUGGCAGU